AUACGGAGGAUGCGAGCGUUAUCCGGAUUUAUUGGGUUUAAAGGGAGCGUAGGCGGGAGCUUAAGUCAGCGGUUAAAUGGUGCGGCUCAACCGUGCCCUGCCGUUGAAACUGGGUUUCUUGAGAGUGCAAGAGGCGGAUGGAAUUCAUGGGGUAGCGGGGAAAUGCUUAGAUAUCAUGAAGAACUCCGAUUGCGAAGGCAGUCCGCUGGGGCACGUCUGACGCUGAUGCUCGAAGGUGCGGGAAUCAAACAGGAUUAGAUACCCUGGUAGUCCGCACGGUAAACGAUGAUUACCCGCUGUCGGCGGUAGACAGUCGGCGGCCAAGCGAAAGCGAUAAGUAAUCCACCUGGGGAGUACGCCGGCAACGGUGAAACUUAAAGGAAUUGACGGGG
Molecule: ribosomal RNA, 392 nt
Filed under: uncultured bacterium
Lineage: Bacteria
Description: partial 16S ribosomal RNA
Rfam family: Bacterial small subunit ribosomal RNA
Source: RNAcentral